RNAcentral lists this ribosomal RNA (1485 nucleotides) under metagenome. RNAcentral's name for it is "bacterial SSU rRNA". It matches the Rfam family "Bacterial small subunit ribosomal RNA". The record is from RNAcentral.
AGAGUUUGAUCCUGGCUCAGGAUGAACGCUGGCGGCGUGCCUAACACAUGCAAGUCGAACGAAGCACUUUAUUACGAUUUCUUCGGAAUGACGAUUUGGUGACUGAGUGGCGGACGGGUGAGUAACGCGUGGAUAACCUGCCCCAUACAGGGGGAUAACAGUUAGAAAUGACUGCUAAUACCGCAUAAGCGCACAGUAUCGCAUGAUACGGUGUGAAAAACUCCGGUGGUAUGGGAUGGAUCCGCGUCUGAUUAGCCAGUUGGCGGGGUAGAGGCCCACCAAAGCGACGAUCAGUAGCCGACCUGAGAGGGUGACCGGCCACAUUGGGACUGAGACACGGCCCAAACUCCUACGGGAGGCAGCAGUGGGGAAUAUUGCACAAUGGGGGAACCCUGAUGCAGCGACGCCGCGUGAGCGAAGAAGUAUUUCGGUAUGUAAAGCUCUAUCAGCAGGGAAGAAGAAAGUGACGGUACCUGACUAAGAAGCUCCGGCUAAAUACGUGCCAGCAGCCGCGGUAAUACGUAUGGAGCAAGCGUUAUCCGGAUUUACUGGGUGUAAAGGGAGCGUAGGCGGUGCUAUAAGUCUGAUGUGAAAGCCCGGGGCUCAACCGCGGGACUGCAUUGGAAACUGUAGGACUGGAGUGUCGGAGGGGUAAGUGGAAUUCCUAGUGUAGCGGUGAAAUGCGUAGAUAUUAGGAGGAACACCGGUGGCGAAGGCGGCUUACUGGACGACAACUGACACUGAGGCUCGAAAGUGUGGGUAGCAAACAGGAUUAGAUACCCUGGUAGUCCACACCGUAAACGAUGAUUACUAGGUGUUGGAGGAUUGACCCCUUCAGUGCCGCAGUUAACACAAUAAGUAAUCCACCUGGGGAGUACGACCGCAAGGUUGAAACUCAAAGGAAUUGACGGGGGCCCGCACAAGCAGUGGAGUAUGUGGUUUAAUUCGACGCAACGCGAAGAACCUUACCAAGUCUUGACAUCCUGCGACGAUGCUAGAAAUAGUAUUUUCCUUCGGGACGCAGAGACAGGUGGUGCAUGGUUGUCGUCAGCUCGUGUCGUGAGAUGUUGGGUUAAGUCCCGCAACGAGCGCAACCCUUAUGGUCAGUUACUACGCAAGAGGACUCUGGCCAGACUGCCGUUGACAAAACGGAGGAAGGUGGGGAUGACGUCAAAUCAUCAUGCCCUUUAUGACUUGGGCUACACACGUGCUACAAUGGCGUUAAACAAAGAGAAGCAAGACCGCGAGGUGGAGCAAAACUCAGAAACAACGUCCCAGUUCGGACUGCAGGCUGCAACUCGCCUGCACGAAGUCGGAAUUGCUAGUAAUCGUGGAUCAGCAUGCCACGGUGAAUACGUUCCCGGGACUUGUACACACCGCCCGUCACACCAUGAGAGCCGGGGGGACCCGAAGUCGGUAGUCUAACCGCAAGGAGGACGCCGCCGAAGGUAAAACUGGUGAUUGGGGUGAAGUCGUAACAAGGUA